Molecule: long non-coding RNA, 2103 nt
Organism: Lathyrus oleraceus (garden pea)
Lineage: Eukaryota; Viridiplantae; Streptophyta; Magnoliopsida; Fabales; Fabaceae
Exons: 4
Source: RefSeq, a predicted model, not a curated record
CAAAGUUGGCCUGAGACGUCCUUCUGCCGCACCAGAAAUCGCCUCCGGAGACCCAAACAACCAAAAUAACACACCACAAGAACCGUCUCAGCUCGUUGGUUCUCAUUCUAAUCACGGAUGUCCCCAGUUCUUCACCCACUUCACGAAUCGGGGAAGACAACAGUGAAAACCUUAGGUCUCAACUCCUCAAUUAAAGGCCAAAGGAUAAGGAAAGGGAUCUAAAACCAUAGGGGUUUGACUCCUCGCAUCAAGAUCCACAUCACAGUAAUGAGAAAAGAGCAAGAAAAGGAUUUUUCACCAACCUUCAAAGCGGAGGAUUGCUUUGGUGCUCGUUAGAGUUGGAGAAGACGAGGCUCAAGAAAAUACUAGAGGAAUGUGAUUAUCCAGUGUAAACUAAUGUGAUAGCUUGAUGCUUGGUAUUUAAUGACUUGCAUAAUGUUAUGGUCAUGACUGCUGCAUCAUUAGACUCGAGUUGCAUGUAGUUUGCAAGUGAAUGACUUUUGCAGGCAACAUAAUGUCAAUGUUUAUUACUGCAGGUGAUUGCUAAUGAUGAUGAUCUGGUCCAAUGUUUGCUUUGCAACUUGGUGUCAUGAUGUAACAUUCGUUGUGGACAACCCCCUCCAUUUUGAACUUAAUGCAUUGAAACACCUUAAUGUUGGUCUGAGCAAGCUUUUGACUUGACUCAAUGUUUUGAUGGUGCAAACUGUUGUGUAUUAUGCAGCUAUUGUUCUAUCUUAUGCAACAGGGUGGCCAUUGCCAUUCUGACUUUGGUUUAGUGUUGGCUUAGGUAAUGCUUGUUUGGUUGCUGCAAUGUUGUUGUAGUGUGAGGUAUACUCAAAUCCAUCUGCAAUCUUGGCUAUGGUUCAUGGCCUCCAUUAUGAUUGUGAGCUUGGUUUGGUGUUGCAGCAUGAUGAACCAAUGUGCAUUGCUUAUUCCUGAUCGAUGUAGUAGAUUUGUAUGCUUAUUCUACUAUAGGUAAGAAUCCUGACUUAUGAUUCAUCAUGCGAUGAAUUCUGGCUUGGUUAUGUCCAUUACUAUGCCUUGUUUUGCACUAGGUAUGCAACCAUUCCUAGCACAUUAUGCCUCAAAGUGCAGCAUCAUGUACUGCCAAGGCUUACAACAGGUGACCAUAGUUCAACAUUGUUUUGGCUUGGUCUGUCAUGAGCCUCAUUCACAUUUUACAGCACGACAUCAUGGUUCUGCAGCAGGAUGACACGUGAGUGUUGCUUGUUCCAUGACAAACUUGCAUUAUUCAUUUUGCUGUAGGUAAAUCCCUUGCAACCUUGGUAUUGGUUUGUUGCCUUGAGUUCAUGCUGUAAGACCCUAAUUUUGACCCUAAGAUCCCUCAUGGCACCAUAUCAUUGCUCAAUGCAUCUGCCUCAAGGAUCAUAGCAUCUUGGCUCCUUUACCCUAGGGUUGGGACUUGUGUGAGUUGGUUUGAGACCACCAAGCAUGCUUGAAUUAUAUAUUAUUGAUUUUCUUAUUUUGUUUACUAACCAAAAGCACAAAAUAUUUCACUAACUUUCUUUUGUUUUGAAGCUUAAGCAGUCAUGUGAUCCAAGGCUCCUAGGAGGCUCCUAUGCGCAUUGAAAUGGCCAGAUGAGGAUGAAAGCAAGCAUGAAAAUGGUUCCCAAAGCUCUCAAUCAUCAUAUAUUCCUCCCAAGCAUCUCAAUUUGUCAAUUUGAUCAAGAUAAACCAAGGGGCUUGAGAAUUGUUUCCCAAGAAAACCCUAAUUCAAUUGUGCAUUGAAUGUGCCUUGCUCAUGAAGCAACCUCAACCUAUGAUCAAAUACAAUCAAGGUAAGUUAUUUCAUUCAUCAUUUUAUGAAUAUAUGAGCCCAUGUGAGUUCCCUCAAUCAUUCAUUCAUUAAGAUUUGAAGUUUGGCUUUGAGAAGUUGAUCAGUCAAUUCGUCUAACUAUUUUGAAAUCCACUGAGACCUAACUUUUGAUGUGUUUGUCAAAUGAAGAUGACCCCAAGAGAAACAAUGUUAUUAAGAACCAUAUGAACAACUUUCAUGUUUAUAAAAAAUCCAUUUGAAACUUGUAAGAUCAGCAUUCAUUUCAAAACAUUAUAGGUCAUUUUGACUGAAACCCUAAUUUUGGG